Molecule: non-coding RNA, 23 nt
Filed under: Arabidopsis thaliana (thale cress)
Lineage: Eukaryota; Viridiplantae; Streptophyta; Magnoliopsida; Brassicales; Brassicaceae
Source: RNAcentral
UAUCAGUCUGUUCUUAUUGCCUA